RNAcentral lists this long non-coding RNA (474 nucleotides) under Prunus dulcis (almond). RNAcentral's name for it is "sRNA ncRNA". The record is from RNAcentral. Lineage: Eukaryota; Viridiplantae; Streptophyta; Magnoliopsida; Rosales; Rosaceae.
AUGGCAAAAUUACCAGAGUUUAUUGCUCUUGAAUCAGUCAAGAACAGGAAAUACCUGGUCUACAAACACCAACCCACCAUCCCAAAGCUGCCAAAUUUUCUCCAAUGCUCCGGACAGGAUAGUCACAGCAAAGACGCAAGGUUCAAAGUGGAGAAGGACGUAAACGACCCCAGUCUGGUGCAUAUAAAAUGCACCUACAACGACAAAUACUUGAGACUGGAAAGCCAACACAGUUCGUGGAUUGUGGCCGACGCUGACAAGAAACAGCCAAAUAAAACCCUGUGGUCAUGUACACUCUUCAAGCCGGAGGGUUUGGAAUUCCCGGGACUGCACGGCUUAUACAAGUUCAUCCACGUGUACACGGAAAAGCCUAUAGGGCCAAAAUCUGAACCCCUCUUUGAGGAUGUCCUCGCUGUAGAAAGUGCAAAACCCAGCGAAAUCCAUGCCUUCAUUGUCGAAAAACUUCCAGGAUGA